GUUGUCAUGCCAAUGGCACUGCCCGGUAGCUAAAUGCGGAAGAGAUAAGUGCUGAAAGCAUCUAAGCACGAAACUUGCCCCGAGAUGAGUUCUCCCUGACUCCUUGAGAGUCCUGAAGGAACGUUGAAGACGACGACGUUGAUAGGCCGGGUGUGUAAGCGCAGCGAUGCGUUGAGCUAACCGGUACUAAUGAACCGUGAGGCUUAACCUUACAACGCCGAAG
This 223-nucleotide ribosomal RNA is filed under the name Escherichia coli. RNAcentral describes it as "partial 23S ribosomal RNA". It matches the Rfam family "Bacterial large subunit ribosomal RNA", at positions 2720 to 2925 of the family's 2925-position model. The record is from RNAcentral. Lineage: Bacteria; Pseudomonadati; Pseudomonadota; Gammaproteobacteria; Enterobacterales; Enterobacteriaceae.